AGAGUUUGAUCCUGGCUCAGAUUGAACGCUGGCGGCAGGCCUAACACAUACAAGUCGAACGGUAACAGGAAGCAGCUUGCUGCUUCGCUGACGAGUGGCGGACGGGUGAGUAAUGUCUGGGAAACUGCCUGAUGGAGGGGGAUAACUACUGGAAACGGUAGCUAAUACCGCAUAACGUCGCAAGACCAAAGAGGGGGACCUUAGGGCCUCUUGCCAUCGGAUGUGCCCAGAUGGGAUUAGCUAGUAGGUGGGGUAACGGCUCACCUAGGCGACGAUCCCUAGCUGGUCUGAGAGGAUGACCAGCCACACUGGAACUGAGACACGGUCCAGACUCCUACGGGAGGCAGCAGUGGGGAAUAUUGCACAAUGGGCGCAAGCCUGAUGCAGCCAUGCCGCGUGUAUGAAGAAGGCCUUCGGGUUGUAAAGUACUUUCAGCGGGGAGGAAGGGAGUAAAGUUAA
RNAcentral lists this ribosomal RNA (459 nucleotides) under uncultured bacterium. RNAcentral's name for it is "bacterial SSU rRNA". It matches the Rfam family "Bacterial small subunit ribosomal RNA", at positions 8 to 463 of the family's 1533-position model. The record is from RNAcentral.